RNAcentral lists this ribosomal RNA (398 nucleotides) under uncultured bacterium. RNAcentral describes it as "bacterial SSU rRNA". It matches the Rfam family "Bacterial small subunit ribosomal RNA", at positions 29 to 408 of the family's 1533-position model. The record is from RNAcentral.
AACGAACGCUGGCGGCGUGCCUAACACAUGCAAGUCGGGGGAGAAAGGGAGCUUCGGCUCCCGAGUAAACCGGCGCACGGGUGAGUACAACGUAGGUAACGUACCUUCGAGUCCGGGAUAACCAGUCGAAAGGACUGGCUAAUACCGGAUACGACCGAGAGGGCCUCGGCUCUCGCGGUGAAAGAUGGCCUCUGCUUGCAAGCUAUCACUCGUUGAGCGGCCUGCGCACCAUUAGCAGUUGGUGGGGUAACGGCCCACCAAGGCUGAGAUGGUUAGCUGGUCUGAGAGGAUGGCCAGCCACACUGGGACUGAGACACGGCCCAGACUCCUACGGGAGGCAGCAGUGGGGAAUAUUGCGCAAUGGGCGAAAGCCUGACGCAGCGACGCCGCGUGGGUGA